RNAcentral lists this ribosomal RNA (376 nucleotides) under uncultured bacterium. Its description in RNAcentral is "bacterial SSU rRNA". It matches the Rfam family "Bacterial small subunit ribosomal RNA", at positions 524 to 898 of the family's 1533-position model. The record is from RNAcentral.
UACGGAGGAUCCGAGCGUUAUCCGGAUUUAUUGGGCGUAAAGCGAGCGCAGGCGGUCUUUUAAGUCUGAUGUGAAAGCCCCCGGCUUAACCGGGGAGGGUCAUUGGAAACUGGGAGACUUGAGUGCAGAAGAGGAAAGCGGAAUUCCAUGUGUAGCGGUGAAAUGCGUAGAUAUAUGGAGGAACACCAGUGGCGAAGGCGGCUUUCUGGUCUGUAACUGACGCUGAGGCUCGAAAGCGUGGGGAGCAAACAGGAUUAGAUACCCUGGUAGUCCACGCCGUAAACGAUGAGUGCUAAGUGUUGGAGGGUUUCCGCCCUUCAGUGCUGCAGCAAACGCAUUAAGCACUCCGCCUGGGGAGUACGACCGCAAGGUUGAA